RNAcentral lists this ribosomal RNA (364 nucleotides) under uncultured bacterium. RNAcentral's name for it is "SSU rRNA". It matches the Rfam family "Bacterial small subunit ribosomal RNA", at positions 26 to 380 of the family's 1533-position model. The record is from RNAcentral.
AGGACGAACGCUGGCGGCAUGCCUAAUACAUGCAAGUCGAGCGGAAUGAAGAGAGCUUGCUCUCUGAUUUUAGCGGCGGACGGGUGAGUAACACGUGGGCAACCUGCCCUACAGAUGGGGAUAACUCCGGGAAACCGGGGCUAAUACCGAAUAAUCAGUAUGUCCGCAUGGACAUACUCUGAAAGACGGUUUCGGCUGUCACUGUAGGAUGGGCCCGCGGCGCAUUAGCUAGUUGGUGGGGUAAUGGCCUACCAAGGCGACGAUGCGUAGCCGACCUGAGAGGGUGAUCGGCCACACUGGGACUGAGACACGGCCCAGACUCCUACGGGAGGCAGCAGUAGGGAAUCUUCCACAAUGGACGAAA